ACAGUGAUGGUUCAGUGGUAGAAUUCUUGCCUUCCAUGCAGUUGACCCUGGUUCGAUUCCCAGUCGAUGUA
Molecule: transfer RNA, 71 nt
Filed under: Loxodonta africana (African savanna elephant)
Lineage: Eukaryota; Metazoa; Chordata; Mammalia; Proboscidea; Elephantidae
Rfam family: tRNA
About the family: Transfer RNA (tRNA) molecules are approximately 80 nucleotides in length. Their secondary structure includes four short double-helical elements and three loops (D, anti-codon, and T loops).
Source: Rfam by way of RNAcentral